AAGGAGCCUAACAUGUAUGCGAGUCUUUGGGUGGCAAACCCAUAGGCGCAAUGAAAGUGAAUUCAGGUGGGAUCCGCAAGGUGCACCAUCGACCGAUCCUCACGUCUUUUAAGUCGUGGAUUUGAGUAAGAGCAUACCUGUUGGGACCCGAAAGAUGGUGAACUAUGCCUGAAUAGGGUGAAGCCAGAGGAAACUCUGGUGGAGGCUCGUAGAUGUGCUGACGUGCAAAUCGAUUUUCAGAUUUGGGUAUAGGGGCGAAAGACUAAUCGAACCAUCUAGUAGCUGGUUCCCUC
Molecule: unclassified non-coding RNA, 293 nt
Filed under: uncultured fungus
Lineage: Eukaryota; Fungi
Description: partial contains 5.8S rRNA, ITS2 and 28S rRNA
Rfam family: Eukaryotic large subunit ribosomal RNA
Source: RNAcentral